GAUGAACGCUGGCGGCGUGCCUAAUACAUGCAAGUCGAGCGAACAGACGAGGAGCUUGCUCCUCUGACGUUAGCGGCGGACGGGUGAGUAACACGUGGAUAACCUCCCUAUAAGACUGGGAUAACUUCGGGAAACCGGAGCUAAUACCGGAUAAUAUAUUGAACCGCAUGGUUCAAUAGUGAAAGACGGUUUUGCUGUCACUUAUAGAUGGAUCCGCGCCGCAUUAGCUAGUUGGUAAGGUAACGGCUUACCAAGGCAACGAUGCGUAGCCGACCUGAGGGGGUGAUCGGCCACAUUGGAACUGAGACACGGUCCAGACUCCUACGGGAGGCAGCAGUAGGGAAUCUUCCGCAAUGGGCGAAAGCCUGACGGAGCAACGCCGCGUGAGUGAUGAAGGUCUUCGGAUCGUAAAACUCUGUUAUUAGGGAAGAACAAAUGUGUAAGUAACUAUGCACGUCUUGACGGUACCUAAUCAGAAAGCCACGGCUAACUACGUG
This 497-nucleotide ribosomal RNA is filed under the name uncultured bacterium. RNAcentral's name for it is "partial 16S ribosomal RNA". It matches the Rfam family "Bacterial small subunit ribosomal RNA", at positions 28 to 507 of the family's 1533-position model. The record is from RNAcentral.